Molecule: unclassified non-coding RNA, 22 nt
Filed under: Dictyostelium discoideum
Lineage: Eukaryota; Evosea; Eumycetozoa; Dictyosteliales; Dictyosteliaceae
Source: RNAcentral
UCGAAUCCUAUUUCUAUCACCA